GACGAACGCUGGCGGCGUGCCUAAUACAUGCAAGUAGAACGCACAGUUUAUACCGUAGCUUGCUACACCAUAAACUGUGAGUUGCGAACGGGUGAGUAACGCGUAGGUAACCUGCCUGGUAGCGGGGGAUAACUAUUGGAAACGAUAGCUAAUACCGCAUAAUAUUGAUUAUUGCAUGAUAAUUGAUUGAAAGAUGCUAUUGCAUCACUACCAGAUGGACCUGCGUUGUAUUAGCUAGUAGGUGAGGUAAUGGCUCACCUAGGCGACGAUACAUAGACGACCUGAGAGGGUGAUAGGCCACACUGGGACUGAGACACGGCCCAGACGCCUACGGGAGGCAGCAGUAGGGAAUCUUCGGCAAUGGACGAAAGUCUGACCGAGCAACGCCGCGUGAGUGAAGAAGGGUUUCGGAUCGUAAAGCUCUGUUGUAAGAGAAGAACGGGUGUGAGAGUGGAAAGUUCACACUGUGACGGUAUCUUACCAGAAAGGGACGGCUAACUACGUG
This 505-nucleotide ribosomal RNA is filed under the name uncultured bacterium. RNAcentral describes it as "partial 16S ribosomal RNA". It matches the Rfam family "Bacterial small subunit ribosomal RNA", at positions 28 to 507 of the family's 1533-position model. The record is from RNAcentral.